RNAcentral lists this ribosomal RNA (423 nucleotides) under uncultured bacterium. RNAcentral describes it as "bacterial SSU rRNA". It matches the Rfam family "Bacterial small subunit ribosomal RNA", at positions 354 to 774 of the family's 1533-position model. The record is from RNAcentral.
GUGAGGAAUAUUGGGCAAUGCCCGCAAGGGUGACCCAGCAACGCCGCGUGGAGGAUGAAUGUCGUAAGAUUGUAAACUCCUGUUAGAGGGGAAGAAUAGUACCGGUUGGACCGGUAUAUGACUGUACCCUCAGAGAAAGCCCCGGCUAACUACGUGCCAGCAGCCGCGGUAAUACGUAGGGGGCAAGCGUUGUCCGGAUUUACUGGGUGUAAAGGGCGCGCAGGCGGGAUAAAAAGUCAGUGGUGAAAUCCUACAGCUUAACUGUAGAACUGCCUUUGAUACUUUUAUUCUUGAGUUCGGGAGAGAGAGACGGAAUUCCAGGUGUAGUGGUGAAAUACGUAGAUAUCUGGAAGAACACCAGCUGCGAAGGCGGUCUCUUGGUCCGACACUGACGCUGAGGCGCGAAAGCGUGGGGAGCAAACA